Molecule: ribosomal RNA, 1116 nt
Filed under: Triticum aestivum (bread wheat)
Lineage: Eukaryota; Viridiplantae; Streptophyta; Magnoliopsida; Poales; Poaceae
Description: partial small subunit ribosomal RNA
Source: RNAcentral
AUGAGGCCCAUAUGCCGCCUUUCUGAUGAUCCAGUUCAGCUAGUAGUUGAUUUGUUGGACGAAUCAGGGCAAUGGAACACACAGCUUGUGCGAGACAUGUUCAUUGCAUCUGAUGCGGAUGCUAUCUUAAGCAUGCCGCGCGCAAGAGUGGGGAUACUCGAUUUUUGGGGCUGGGCGUGGGAAAAAUCCGAAUCUUUUACGGUUCGGUCAGCCUAUCGCAUGGCUAUGGAAAAGAAUUUCAACCUGCAAAAUGAGACAUCAUCUUCAGAGGGGGAUGCAAUCUGCCCAAUGCGUGGAGCAUGUGACGAGUCGAUAUUUCAUGCAUUCAUAAAAUGCGAGCAUGCAUUCAUGUUUUGGGACGAAGCGAGUGACUUUUUCGAGCUGAAGCUUCCUAAGCUGCAACCUGUGACAUGGGCGAGGGACUUGCUUGAUCAUAAUCUCAUUAGGAAGGAGAAUGCUGUUGUGGCCGUGUCGGUAAUAUGGGCGAUUUGGAACAAUAGAAACAAAUACACACACGAUAAAGCCGUCUACCAACUGCGGCAAUCAAUGCAGCUAGUACAGGAACUUGUUAGAGCACUGGAUAUACCUGCAGUGGAAGUAAAACAAAACAAACCUCGGCCUUCUUCAAAGGCACCAGAGGAAGGAUGGCUCAAGAUUAAUUCUGAUGGUGCGAUCGGUGUGGCAGCAAAUUGCGCUGGGACGGGAGUGGUUGUGAGAGACCACUUGGGCACUUUCGUUGUGGCAAAGAUAACCAGGUAUGAUGUUGUUUCGGACCCUUUCAUCAUUGAAGCACUAGCUUGCAGAGAUGGAAUGAGAGUGGCCAUGGAAAAGGGAUUUCAGAAGGUUACUAUGGAGACAGAUUGUCAGGUGGUUGAUGCGGCCUGGGAAGCUGCGAAUGAUAUCUGGUGCUGGUCAUAUCUUUCAGGAGAUGAGACCAUAUCUCUCGAACUUUCAGGGAUUCUGGUCUUUUCUCCUCGUAGUGCAAACUUUGCAACUCAUUUGUGUGCAAAGGAAGCACUGAAUUUGGAGAAUGUUAGCUCAUCUUAUGAUGUAAUCCCUGCCUUUUUGAUUGCCCAAGUGCAGUCAGAAGUUGUACCGCUUACUGAUAAUCAAUAA